Molecule: ribosomal RNA, 450 nt
Filed under: uncultured bacterium
Lineage: Bacteria
Description: partial 16S ribosomal RNA
Rfam family: Bacterial small subunit ribosomal RNA
Source: RNAcentral
CCUACGGGUGGCAGCAGUGGGGAAUAUUGGACAAUGGGCGGAAGCCUGAUCCAGCAAUACCGCGUGUGUGAAGAAGGCCUGAGGGUUGUAAAGCACUUUCAAUAGGAAGGAAUACCUAUCCAUUAAUACUGGGUAGUCUGACAUUACCUAUACAAGAAGCACCGGCUAACUCCGUGCCAGCAGCCGCGGUAAUACGGAGGCUGCAAGCGUUAAUCGGAAUUACUGGGCGUCGACCGUGCAAGUGCGACGUGAAAGCCCCGGGCUUAACCUGGGAAUGGCAUUUGAUACUGGCGAGCUAGAGUUGAGUAGAGGGGAGUGGAAUUUCAGGUGUAGCGGUGAAAUGCGUAGAGAUCUGAAGGAACACCAGUGGCGAAGGCGACUCCCUGGACUCAAACUGACACUGAGGUACGAAAGCGUGGGUAGCAAACAGGAUUAGAUACCCCAGUAGUC